GGAGGGCACCGUGGGCACGCUGCCAAUCCAGUCCCGUUGGCCAGCAACGCGGCCAACAAGCCCGCAGUAAUAACAGCCCCCACCCCAGUGAAACGAUGAUCAGGGAGGGGCGCGUACAUAUACACACUUACGGAACUGAAUAUUAAAGGGCGGCGGGUGGGGGGGGGGACAGAAAAUAAACAACAUCAUCUUUCAGGAGGGUCAGUUUGAGUCUGAAAACGCCCUUUAUUUCCCAAGGACUUUGUUGCAUUCUGAAGAAGCUUCUGGGGUCGGGCCAGUGAUAAAAGUUUUUCUUUAAUCCGUCAAAGCCAAGUUUUGAAAGUGAAGGAGGAGAAACUUGUAAAAGCAUUGCUAACUCCUUCAAAAUCGAUCAUCAUGACGGGAGCCCAAAUCUGAUUGCCAAAUCUUGGCAACGAAAAUGCAUCCCCAUCAGCAUCGCAGUCUUUAAUGAAGCUGACUCCAGCAGAUUCAAUGGAGGUCUGUUGGCAACACAUUGAGACCAAAAACUGUUGAAGGUAACAGCUUGACACCGUCCAAGUCAGGGCAGCCCACUUGAUUGGGACCACAUCCAACUCCUUUGACCAUUUCUGUGAAGAGACACUUUCUGAGAGCACCUCUGAAUGGCUGAGCUGGGAUUUUAAGCUGUUGACGUUGAUGGGUGACAGACCAGAAAGCUACCUUUUCAUCAGCCUUUCAGAGGCGCUGUACCUCAUACUGCAGAACUGACACGUGAGAUGAUUUAUUCAAGCCCAGAGACUAUGAACCAAUUCUAAUGCAGAAGUACUGUGUCAAACAUAUUGAUGGAUUUCGACUUUUGUGUUCAAUGUCGAUGACAACGGUCACAGGACAUUGUCACCAUAUCCCCUACCUUCAGUGAUCGGGGAGCCCAACAGACCAGUGCAAAAGUGCAUUUGCAACCAUCUUCAGUCAGAAGUGCCAAGUGGAUGAUCUAUUUCAGCCUUCCUCCUCCUUCAGUGGUCCCCAGCAUCAUAGAUGCCAGUUCUCAGCCAAUUCAAUUCAUUCCAUGUGAUAUCAAGAAAUGGCUAAAGGCACUGGGCCCUGUCAGUUUUAAAAGACAGGACCAAAGACUUCUGCUCCAGAACUUGCCGCUCCCCUAGCCAAGCUCUUCCAGUGCAGCUACAACACUGGUAUCUGUCUGACAAUGUGGAAAAUUGCCCAAAUAUGUCCUGUACACAAAAAGCAGGACAAAUUGUGACGAUGCUGUGGCUUUAAGAGAUGGGUUUUGUCCUGGUUUCUUUCACAGAGAGAUUGGGGGGCAGUUGCCCAGCAAUCUUUGACAAGAUAAGCAACUUGCGAGGCCUUGGGUGUUUUUCUUCAAGUUAGCAGUCACACGAUACCAGGUUAUAUUUGAAAUCACAAGCUUUCCGAGGGCUGCUUGUUCAUCACCUUAUGAAGGAGCAGUGCUCCAAAAGCUUGUGGUUUCAAAUAAACCUGUUGGACUGUAGCCUGGUGUCAUGUGACUUCUAACUUUGUCCACCCCAGUCGAAUACCGGCACCUCCAUUUUUGUUUAAAGCUGGAACAGUAGAAACAGCCUGAUUGGGUGUGGUCAAGCUCUCACAGAAUCAGGGGCUUUAGUAUGGCUUUAAGCAGUUGCUUCUGUGAGCUUGAAGAAGUGGAAGCUAUUUUUCCAUCACUCAAUUACAGCCAAAUACUGGGGGUUCCCUUUGCAGGCUGCUGAUUGCAUGUGAGACAAAAUAUGCCAGGGGUGUGUUUAUGAGAUGUUACCAUAUUGGAACAGUUAAUCAGUGAUUGUAACUGUAUCAAUCAUUCUGUUAAGUUUUCCAAUAGAGUUAAGUUAUACAGAGUUUUUGUCCCUUUUGUUGUGU
Stegostoma tigrinum is the source of this 1848-nucleotide long non-coding RNA. RefSeq lists it as uncharacterized. NCBI's taxonomy places the organism in Eukaryota, Metazoa, Chordata, Chondrichthyes, Orectolobiformes, Stegostomatidae. The transcript is spliced from 4 exons. The record is from RefSeq and is a predicted model, not a curated record.